CAUAACGGAUUUUAAAAAUUUAAAUUAUAAAUUUUUAAUUAUUAAACCUAUAAACCAGCACCCCCUUGAUGAUUAACAAUCAUACAACAUACAUUCAUAAUAAAAUUCAAGCUAUAGAAGAAUACCUACAGCACUUAUUCUAAAUUCGAUAGAACCUCCAUCAGACACCCAAGUGUUCACCCUCCAACGGUAAUCCAUGCAGGGCUA
RNAcentral lists this long non-coding RNA (207 nucleotides) under Elaeis guineensis (African oil palm). Its description in RNAcentral is "long non-coding RNA (EGUI_LNC036562)". Lineage: Eukaryota; Viridiplantae; Streptophyta; Magnoliopsida; Arecales; Arecaceae. The record is from RNAcentral.